GAUGAACGCUGGCGGCGUGCCUAAUACAUGCAAGUCGAGCGAACGGACGAGAAGCUUGCUUCUCUGAUGUUAGCGGCGGACGGGUGAGUAACACGUGGAUAACCUACCUAUAAGACUGGGAUAACUUCGGGAAACCGGAGCUAAUACCGGAUAAUAUUUUUAACCGCAUGGUUCAAAAGUGAAAGACGGUCUUGCUGUCACUUAUAGAUGGAUCCGCUCUGCAUUAGCUAGUUGGUAAGGUAACGGCUUACCAAGGCAACGAUGCAUAGCCGACCUGAGAGGGUGAUCGGCAACACUGGAACUGAGAACCGGUCCAGACUCCUACGGGAGGAAGCAGUAGGGAAUCUUCCGAAAUGGGCGAAAGCCUGACGGAGAAACGCCGCGUGAGUGAUGAAGGUCUUCGGAUCGUAAAACUCUGUUAUUAGGGAAGAACAUAUGUGUAAGUAACUGUGCACAUCUUGACGGUACCUAAUCAGAAAGCCACGGCUAACUACGUG
Molecule: ribosomal RNA, 497 nt
Filed under: uncultured bacterium
Lineage: Bacteria
Description: partial 16S ribosomal RNA
Rfam family: Bacterial small subunit ribosomal RNA
Source: RNAcentral